GGCUCAGAACGAACGCGGCGGGCGUGCCUAACACAUGCAAGUCGAGCGAGAAAGCCCGCAAGGGUGAGCAAAGCGGCGCACGGGUGAGUAACACGUGGGUAAUCUGCCCUAGAGUCCGGAAUAACUCGCCGAAAGGCGUGCUAAUGCCGGAUGAGACCACGGGAGCCUCGGCUCCUGCGGGAAAAGGUGGCCUCUGUACACAAGCUAUCACUCUAGGAUGAGCCCGCGGCCCAUCAGCUCGUUGGCGGGGUAAUGGCCCACCAAGGCUACGACGGGUAGCUGGUCUGAGAGGACGAUCAGCCACACUGGAACUGAGACACGGUCCAGACUCCUACGGGAGGCAGCAGUGGGGAAUCUUGCGCAAUGGGCGAAAGCCUGACGCAGCAACGCCGCGUGUGUGAUGAAGGUCUUCGGAUCGUAAAGCACUGUCGCGAGGGACGAAUAAGGGGCGGGCUAACAUCCCGUUCCGAUGACGGUACCUCGAGAGGAAGCACCGGCUAACUCUGCGCCAGCAGCCGCGGUAAUACAGAGGGUGCAAGCGUUGUUCGGAAUUAUUGGGCGUAAAGCGCGUGUAGGCGGCCUUGCAAGUUGGGUGUGAAAGCCCUCGGCUUAACCGAGGAAGUGCGCCCAAAACUACGAGGCUUGAGUGCCGGAGAGGGUGGCGGAAUUCCCGGUGUAGAGGUGAAAUUCGUAGAUAUCGGGAGGAACACCAGUGGCGAAGGCGGCCACCUGGACGGUAACUGACGCUGAGACGCGAAAGCGUGGGGAGCAAACAGGAUUAGAUACCCUGGUAGUCCACGCUGUAAACGAUGAGCGCUAGGUGUUGUGGGUGUUGACCCCCGCAGUGCCGCAGCUAACGCAUUAAGCGCUCCGCCUGGGAAGUACGGCCCGCAGGCUAAAACU
RNAcentral lists this ribosomal RNA (903 nucleotides) under uncultured bacterium. Its description in RNAcentral is "bacterial SSU rRNA". It matches the Rfam family "Bacterial small subunit ribosomal RNA", at positions 21 to 901 of the family's 1533-position model. The record is from RNAcentral.